Molecule: long non-coding RNA, 1429 nt
Filed under: Homo sapiens (human)
Lineage: Eukaryota; Metazoa; Chordata; Mammalia; Primates; Hominidae
Description: HSALNT0316918
Source: RNAcentral
UCAGCUCCAUCCAUGUUCCUGCGAAAGACACGAUCUCAUUUUUUUUAAAUGUUUUGCCCAUUUUUAAAUUGGGUUGCUCAUUUUCCUAUUGUUGAAUAUGUUCUUUUUAAACAUUCAGCUGAGGUAACUCUUAAUAUUGUAUAACUAGAAAUACUCAGCUCCUGAAAUUUUGUCGUAGAAGAUUAGUGUUAGCAAUUUGCAAACUACUGAUGACUUGAACACAACAGCCUCAGAUCAGUAAUAAAUGCAGCAUUUUGCAACUAUUGACAAGGAUGCAGAUUAGCUUGUCUGCACUGAGUCUGCAGAGUAAGAAAAAAAGAUCAAGGACUGAAAGCCAGAGAAACAGCAUCUAAGAGAUGAGCCAGAGAAGAGGAGCCCAAGGUGGGAUAUGAGGGGGAGUGGUCAGAAAGCUAGAAGAAAAACCUGGAGGCUGUGGGACACAAUCUCCUUGAAAAAAUCUGAAGAGCAAGCAAAGUCAGCAUUGCCAGAUGCUUGAAAGUGGAUCUGAAUGAUGCAGUGUCGCAAUCCCAUUUUAUAAAUGAGGCAACCAAAACUCGAACAGGACCAUAUUGCGACUGAAACAAGGCAUAACAGGUCUUUGACUGGCUAUCCUGUGGAUGUGGACUCAGGCUAGCCUGCGCAAAGUGAAAGACAGGCAAUUAGAUUGAAAAAUACCUGUGAUUCAAAGAAGUCACAAGUCACAGAGACAAACUUUUCCCAGUGUGUUCGAGUCAGAGAACCUUUGCAAAGACCAACAGGCUAAAAGAGAAAAUACAAUGUCAUCUUGAUGCAGAUGAGCAGGUAACCAUGGAAGUCGUGAGCUGAGGCUGCAGAGUCUAGAGCCAGAGUGUGGAAUAAACUUGGGUCUCAAAUCACCCCUGGAGCAAAGCACCCAUCUAAUCAGGAACUUCUACUUUCAACUUUACAUGCGUGAGAAAUGAACUUCUAUCAUGUUAGAGAAAUCCUUACACGGCGCCCUUGAGAGCUUUCAUACUGCAAGUCAUCCAUUUUCCUCCCCUCAAACCUGGCAUCGGAGUUUAUUGAAACAAAGCAAAAUAAAACAAAUAGACAAAGCUCUACCUCCAUCACUUCUGCAGUCUACAUUAACCCCACGUCCAGAAUAUUCACACCUCAGGUCUUUUUCUCACAAUUGAAACACUGGUUCAGAGCCUAACGGAAGGUCUUGGAGGUAAAAACACAACUUGGGGCAACUUUUCCAUUCUGUUCUGCAUGACCCCAAUGGGACUUCUCAGAAACCCCUCUCAUGAAUUAAACUUUGUUCUGUCUAGAGCAUUAGAAUAAGCUUAUGGGCACCUGCCAGGAGAUUAUAAAGUGGGCCAUUUAAAAGAUGACAGAUAUUGAGCACCCUUGACCCUGUAGAAAGAGUGUACCUACUUGCUUUCCCUAGGGCCCUUAAUGGUUUAUAAAA